RNAcentral lists this ribosomal RNA (437 nucleotides) under Phorcus articulatus. RNAcentral describes it as "partial 16S ribosomal RNA". It matches the Rfam family "Bacterial large subunit ribosomal RNA", at positions 2003 to 2597 of the family's 2925-position model. Lineage: Eukaryota; Metazoa; Mollusca; Gastropoda; Trochida; Trochidae. The record is from RNAcentral.
GACGAGAGCUAUGCUGUCUCUUCCGAAAUUAUUAAAAAUUAACUUUNAGGNGAAGAGGCCUAAAUUUAUUUAAGGGACAAGAAGACCCUGUUGAGCUUUAGUGAUCCUGUAAGUUUACACGCAGCUUAAUAACUGUUGUAUUUUUGUGUAUUUAUAUAUAACAUAAGUUUGUAGGUAAUCUUUAGUUGGGGCGACUGAGGAACAUUAAAAGCCUCCUUGAAUUUAGUAAUAAGUAAAAUUAUUUAAUUUUUUGAUGCAUUUAUGUUAAUUUUGAUCCAAUUUAUUUUGAUUAAGAGAAAAAGUUACCACAGGGAUAACAGCGUAAUCUUUCUGGAGAGAUCUAAUCAAAAGAAGGGUUUGCGACCUCGAUGUUGGACUAAGAUAUCCUGAGGGUGCAGAAGUUCUCAAAGGUUGGUCUGUUCGACCAUUAAAAUCUU